Molecule: transfer RNA, 75 nt
Filed under: Gammaproteobacteria bacterium
Lineage: Bacteria; Pseudomonadati; Pseudomonadota; Gammaproteobacteria
Also listed under: 1 other name
Description: tRNA-Thr
Rfam family: tRNA
About the family: Transfer RNA (tRNA) molecules are approximately 80 nucleotides in length. Their secondary structure includes four short double-helical elements and three loops (D, anti-codon, and T loops). Further hydrogen bonds mediate the characteristic L-shaped molecular structure. tRNAs have two regions of fundamental functional importance: the anti-codon, which is responsible for specific mRNA codon recognition, and the 3' end, to which the tRNAs corresponding amino acid is attached (by aminoacyl-tRNA synthetases). tRNAs cope with the degeneracy of the genetic code in two manners: having more than one tRNA (with a specific anti-codon) for a particular amino acid; and 'wobble' base-pairing, i.e. permitting non-standard base-pairing at the 3rd anti-codon position.
Source: RNAcentral
GCCCACAUAGCUCAGAGGUAGAGCACUUCCUUGGUAAGGAAGAGGUCACCGGUUCAAUUCCGGUUGUGGGCUCCA